RNAcentral lists this ribosomal RNA (327 nucleotides) under uncultured eukaryote. Its description in RNAcentral is "partial 18S ribosomal RNA". It matches the Rfam family "Eukaryotic small subunit ribosomal RNA", at positions 1470 to 1796 of the family's 1831-position model. The record is from RNAcentral.
CCCUUAGAUGUUCUGGGCCGCACGCGCGCUACACUGACGAAUGCAACGAGCUUAUAACCUUGGCCGAAAGGUCUGGGUAAUCUCCAAAUUUCGUCGUGAUGGGGAUAGAUUAUUGCAAUUAUUAAUCUUCAACGAGGAAUGCCUAGUAAGCGCAAGUCAUCAGCUUGCGUUGAUUACGUCCCUGCCCUUUGUACACACCGCCCGUCGCUCCUACCGAUUGAAUGGUCCGGUGAAGCGCACGGACCGCGGCCUCUUGACGGUUCGCUGUCGAUUGGCUGUGGGAAGUUCGUUAAACCUUAUCAUUUAGAGGAAGGAGAAGUCGUAACA